Molecule: ribosomal RNA, 497 nt
Filed under: uncultured bacterium
Lineage: Bacteria
Description: partial 16S ribosomal RNA
Rfam family: Bacterial small subunit ribosomal RNA
Source: RNAcentral
GACGAACGCUGGCGGCGUGCCUAAUACAUGCAAGUUGAGCGCUGAAGGUUGGUACUUGUACCAACUGGAUGAGCAGCGAACGGGUGAGUAACGCGUGGGGAAUCUGCCUUUGAGCGGGGGACAACAGUUGGAAACGAAUGCUAAUACCGCAUAAAAACUUUAAACACAAGUUUUAAGUUUGAAAGAUGCAAUUGCAUCACUCAAAGAUGAUCCCGCGUUGUAUUAGCUAGUUGGUGAGGUAAAGGCUCACCAAGGCGAUGAUACAUAGCCGACCUGAGAGGGUGAUCGGCCACAUUGGGACUGAGACACGGCCCAAACUCCUACGGGAGGCAGCAGUAGGGAAUCUUCGGCAAUGGACGAAAGUCUGACCGAGCAACGCCGCGUGAGUGAAGAAGGUUUUCGGAUCGUAAAACUCUGUUGGUAGAGAAGAACGUUGGUGAGAGUGGAAAGCUCAUCAAGUGACGGUAACUACCCAGAAAGGGACGGCUAACUACGUG